Molecule: long non-coding RNA, 692 nt
Filed under: Olea europaea (common olive)
Lineage: Eukaryota; Viridiplantae; Streptophyta; Magnoliopsida; Lamiales; Oleaceae
Description: long non-coding RNA (OEUR_LNC003276)
Source: RNAcentral
UACUACUUUAACUACAAUGUAAUGUCACCAGAAAAACUAUAUAAUAUUUAAAAGCUCUACAUUUCAAUUCUGAACGAAGCAUGGCUGCUUGUCUUCUCUUUCUCUUCUGCUUUUCUGAAUAAACGCCGGAUGUGAAGAAAAUAUCACCACCUCCAGUGAGGCAAAGAUAAAAACGGGGCAGCAAAGAUUUCACUGUCAACCAUGAACAAAGCAAAGAACAACUAGCACUGGAUUAUUUUUUUAGUUAUCGAGUGCAAAUCCCAAUAGGAAUAAGUGAGGGGAAGGAAGGGAGUUGCAGGCAUGGAGCUAGACCACAAACUAUAGAAGGAAAAUUUGAGUUAGGAAGAGAUUUAAACAGCACUUCUUCAAAUGUGCAGCAAAGGAGGAAAAAUUAAACAAAGCUAACCUGAACAAACAAAUAUGCCUCAAAUGGAACAACUAUGAAAUCGACAUACCUCAGUUCAUUGAUCUCUCAUCUAGGUUACAAGAUGAUUUUGUAGAAAUUCUUUCAAGCUCUUCUCCAGAAAGGAAAGCACAAAAUGAAGUUAGAGUUGAAGCAAAAGGUAUCGAUAGCGAACCGUUAAAAUCAUAAAGCUGCUAUAGUAAGCUAUCUUUUAUGAUAAGGCAUGAUUUAAACUUUCGUCCCUGUAUCUUACCAUCUGGAUUUCUUCUCAUUUAAUUUCUCUUGCCAA